UACGAACUGCGCGAACGUUAUUCGGAAUCACUGGGCUUACAGGGUGCGUAGGCGGCUUCUCAGGUCCGAUGUGAAAUCCCCCAGCUCAACUGGGGAACGGCAUUGGAAACCGGGAGGCUUGAGUGAGCUAGAGGUGCACGGAACUUUCGGUGGAGCGGUGAAAUGUGUUGAGAUCGGAAGGAACACCAGAGGCGAAGGCGGUGCACUGGGGCUUGUCUGACGCUGAGGCACGAAAGCCAGGGGAGCGAACGGG
RNAcentral lists this ribosomal RNA (253 nucleotides) under uncultured bacterium. RNAcentral describes it as "partial 16S ribosomal RNA". It matches the Rfam family "Bacterial small subunit ribosomal RNA", at positions 524 to 776 of the family's 1533-position model. The record is from RNAcentral.